Molecule: non-coding RNA, 51 nt
Organism: Schistosoma rodhaini
Lineage: Eukaryota; Metazoa; Platyhelminthes; Trematoda; Strigeidida; Schistosomatidae
Source: Rfam
AUCCAGCUGACGAGUCCCAAAUAGGACGAAGUGGCGCGCGUUAAACUGGAU